AAGCGGAGGAAAAGAAACUWACAAGGAUUCCCCUAGUAACGGCGAGUGAAGAGGGAAGAGCUCAAAUUUUGAAUCUGGCGUCUUUGGCGUCCGAAUUGUAAUCUAGAGAAGUGUUUUCCGUGACGGACCGUGCACAAGUCUCCUGGAAYGGAGCGUCAUAGAGGGUGAGAAUCCCGUAUAUGGCAUGGACUGCCGUUGCUCUGUGAUACACUCUCGACGAGUCGAGUUGUUUGGGAAUGCAGCUCUAAAUGGGUGGUAAAUGCCAUCUAAAGCUAAAUAUUGGCGAGAGACCGAUAGCGAACAAGUACCGUGAGGGAAAGAUGAAAAGCACUUUGGAAAGAGAGUGAAACAGUACGUGAAAUUGUUGAAAGGGAAACGCUUGAAGUCAGUCGCGCCGUUCGGGAUUCAGCCUUGCUUYUGCUCGGUUUACUUCCUGUUGGGUGGGUCAACAUCAGUUUUGGUCGGAGGAGAAAGGCUUGGGGAAUGUGGCAGCAUUCGUGCUGUGUUAUAGCCCCUCGUUGUAUACUUCGGCUGGGACUGAGGACCGCAGCACGCCUUUGGCCGGGGUUCGCCCACGUACGUGCUUAGGAUGUUGGCAUAAUGGCUUUAAGCGACCCGUCUUG
This 623-nucleotide ribosomal RNA is filed under the name Sebacina dimitica. RNAcentral describes it as "eukaryotic LSU rRNA". It matches the Rfam family "Eukaryotic large subunit ribosomal RNA", at positions 48 to 656 of the family's 3401-position model. The record is from RNAcentral. Lineage: Eukaryota; Fungi; Basidiomycota; Agaricomycetes; Sebacinales; Sebacinaceae.